This 327-nucleotide ribosomal RNA is filed under the name Escherichia coli. Its description in RNAcentral is "bacterial SSU rRNA". It matches the Rfam family "Bacterial small subunit ribosomal RNA", at positions 1219 to 1533 of the family's 1533-position model. The record is from RNAcentral. Lineage: Bacteria; Pseudomonadati; Pseudomonadota; Gammaproteobacteria; Enterobacterales; Enterobacteriaceae.
CACGUGCUACAAUGGCGCAUACAAAGAGAAGCGACCUCGCGAGAGCAAGCGGACCUCAUAAAGUGCGUCGUAGUCCGGAUUGGAGUCUGCAACUCGACUCCAUGAAGUCGGAAUCGCUAGUAAUCGUGGAUCAGAAUGCCACGGUGAAUACGUUCCCGGGCCUUGUACACACCGCCCGUCACACCAUGGGAGUGGGUUGCAAAAGAAGUAAGUAGCUUAACCUUCGGGAGGGCGCUUACCACUUUGUGAUUCAUGACUGGGGUGAAGUCGUAACAAGGUAACCGUAGGGGAACCUGCGGUUGGAUCACCUCCUUACCUUAAAGAAGC